This is a long non-coding RNA of Mastomys coucha (southern multimammate mouse), 1217 nucleotides long. RefSeq lists it as uncharacterized. The transcript has 3 exons. NCBI's taxonomy places the organism in Eukaryota, Metazoa, Chordata, Mammalia, Rodentia, Muridae. The record is from RefSeq and is a predicted model, not a curated record.
GAGUAAAGACUGUUUACCAACGAAGUACACAAGCAGCCCUAUCUAAGAUCCAGGAAUUGGGGGUCCCUAGCUUUAAAUCGUGGGGUGCGCUGAUUGGGAUCAGCCUCAAGAUUUCAGCCUAGGCCUACCUAGGCGAUAACCUCUCAAAAACUGGAGCCAGUCUUCUGUCCAGGCCCAGGUUUGAGGCCGUGAUGACUCAACGCAGCAUCCCCUCCCCUUGCUAAACUGCGGUCUCCGCCUACCCCCAAUCAAUCUCAAGGAAGCACUUUGGGCUCCAGGAUUCCCGGCACUUAGCUGGUGGGUAAAGGGGCUCAUCCCCUUCCCCACAUCCCACCUUCCCUCCUCCCAGUCUUCGGGAGUGCGGAGCUCCUGCCGGGAUCCAAGAGCAGGCUCUUGGUAGUCGAAGAAGGAUAUAACCUCCAGACUUGGAGUUAAAGACGCAAGUACCAGCCAGCAAAUGUGGCAGCCGAGCACGCGAGGGAAGGUGAUAGCUGCUGAAGAAGUAUCCAGUUCUUUAUUCGGAGGCUAUGACACUUGAGAUUCUACUGAAAAGGAGUAGCCGAUGAAGAUGGGGAGUCAUAAAAAUGGAUGAGAAGUUACAACAUUACUUCUGCAGAUUCACAAAGGAGUCCACGUUCCAUGAUGAGAUAAAUACCAGUGAGUUAUGUUCCUGUCAGUUUAGAAGAGAUAAUGCUGAGAUUCCAAGGAUGCUUUCCAAACCAGGAAUGACGAGCAGAAUAUUUGACGCUAUUGUGUUAUUUACUAAUGUUGCCGCCUUACAGGAAGGCGAUGGCUAUUCUAUUUGACUGAAUGAGAAGAGAAGGAAGUCAUUUCCUGUCAAUCCUGCUUUGGUUUCCUGGGUAGUUUAAGAAGCAUCAUUGAUCUGAUCAUUGCCACUGAGGAGGAAAUACCCAUCCACUGAGGACACGCAGGGCUCAUCCCAGUUUGACAUGGGCAGUGAGUCCUUCCCGAUGUAGCCCUUUCUCUAAACUAACCCCUUACACACAUGUAAACUCUGCUCCUUUCUUUAAGUAGCCACAUUGGUGGUGCCUCUGUUGUCAGGUUACAGGGAAGAGUGACCAGAUAGUGGUGGGGAAAGCAUUUGGGAACGGGAUUUGUUUCUGCUUGUCUGGUAAUCUCUCAAAACAGGAGAUAUUUUUGUGGAAUAGAUGCAGUCGGCAGUUUCUUGGAUUUGGGGAGUUAAAAAUCAUGUUACA